GUUGAACGCUGGCGGCGUGCCUAAUACAUGCAAGUCGAGCGAACAGACGAGGAGCUUGCUCCUCUGACGUUAGCGGCGGACGGGUGAGUAACACGUGGAUAACCUACCUAUAAGACUGGGAUAACUUCGGGAAACCGGAGCUAAUACCGGAUAAUAUAUUGAACUGCAUGGUUCAAUAGUGAAAGACGGUUUUGCUGUCACUUAUAGAUGGAUCCGCGCCGCAUUAGCUAGUUGGUAAGGUAACGGCUUACCAAGGCAACGAUGCGUAGCCGACCUGAGAGGGUGAUCGGCCACACUGGAACUGAGACACGGUCCAGACUCCUACGGGAGGCAGCAGUAGGGAAUCUUCCGCAAUGGGCGAAAGCCUGACGGAGCAACGCCGCGUGAGUGAUGAAGGUCUUCGGAUCGUAAAACUCUGUUAUUAGGGAAGAACAAAUGUGUAAGUAACUAUGCACGUCUUGACGGUACCUAAUCAGAAAGCCACGGCUAACUACGUG
RNAcentral lists this ribosomal RNA (497 nucleotides) under uncultured bacterium. RNAcentral describes it as "partial 16S ribosomal RNA". It matches the Rfam family "Bacterial small subunit ribosomal RNA", at positions 28 to 507 of the family's 1533-position model. The record is from RNAcentral.